This is a long non-coding RNA of Anneissia japonica, 325 nucleotides long. RefSeq lists it as uncharacterized. The transcript has 3 exons. Lineage: Eukaryota; Metazoa; Echinodermata; Crinoidea; Comatulida; Comatulidae. The record is from RefSeq and is a predicted model, not a curated record.
AAAUACUCAGACAGAUUCUGAAAAAAUACAAGUUCCAGUUACUCACUCACUGACGAUAAACCAUCGAGACUCAAACUGACACACCAAAAAAACUAUACAAUGGAUACAGUAAUAAAAUCAUUGGUUAUUUGUAUGUUAAUUGCUUGUGUAUAUGGUGCGCCAGCAGACACUAAGGGUAAACCAGCUGUCAAGGUUGAGAAAACUUUCGAUGUUGAAGGGCGAACGUUGACCGAAACUGUGGAACAAACUGAUGACGGCAUUAUAAUAGAUGUAGAGGCUCAACAAGGAUCCAGUGCUUUGACAGUGUUUACUGACGUCACUCAUG